AUUGAACGCUGGCGGCAGGCCUAACACAUGCAAGUCGAACGAGUGGCGGACGGGUGAGUAAUGCCUGGGAAACUGCCCGAUGGAGGGGGAUAACUACUGGAAACGGUAGCCAAUACCGCAUAUCACCGGAUGUGCCCAUAUGGGAUCAGCUUGUAGGUGAGGUAACGGCUCACCUAGGCGACGAUCCCUAGCUGGUCUGAGGGGAUGACCAGCCACACUGGAACUGAGACACGGUCCAGACUCCUACGGGAGGCAGCGGUGGGGAAUAUUGCACAAUGGGCGCAGGCCUGAUGCAGCCAUGCCGCGUGUAUGAAGAAGGCCUUCGGGUUGUAAAGUACUUUCAGCGGGAAGGCGUUACCCGCAGAAGAAGCACCGGCUAACUCCGUGCCAGCCGCCGCGGUAAUUC
RNAcentral lists this ribosomal RNA (406 nucleotides) under uncultured bacterium. RNAcentral describes it as "partial 16S ribosomal RNA". It matches the Rfam family "Bacterial small subunit ribosomal RNA", at positions 30 to 526 of the family's 1533-position model. The record is from RNAcentral.